Sander lucioperca (pikeperch) is the source of this 355-nucleotide long non-coding RNA. RefSeq lists it as uncharacterized. The record is from RefSeq and is a predicted model, not a curated record. The transcript has 3 exons. Lineage: Eukaryota; Metazoa; Chordata; Actinopteri; Perciformes; Percidae.
UGUGUUUGAUGGAAUAACAAAGCUGAUGAGUGGGAUCCUGGGCGUUCUGACUGCUUCCCUCACUAUGAUCAUCAUUUGUCAGGCUGUUAAAAUCAAAAAGCUUCAGAAAGCUCACGUUGAGGAACAGAAUCUGCAACAGACAGAGAGUCUGGGCUCAGAUGAUCUGAACUAUGCAGCAGUGACCUUUCGCCCAAAAACAGAAAGAAACCACCGGCUGGCACCAGAGACAGAAGUGGAGUCAACUGCUAUUUAUUCAGCCACCAGAUAGACUCAGGAAGCACCUGUUGUUAUUUUUAAACACACUGUUACACUGUACAGUGUUUUAGUCUGCUUGAUUGGUGUACCAUCAUCAUUG